CAGCCGCCGCGGGAAUACGAAGGGUGCAAGCGUUACUCGGAAUUACUGGGCGUAAAGCGUGUGUAGGUGGUUGUUUAAGUCUGUCGUGAAAGCCCUGGGCACAACCUGGGAAUUGCGAUGGAUACUGGGCGACUAGAGUGCGGUAGAGGAUAGUGGAAUUUCCGGUGUAGCAGUGAAAUGCGUAGAGAUCGGAAGGAACAUCUGUGGCGAAGGCGACCAUCUGGGCCAACACUGACACUGAGACACGAAAGCGUGGGGAGCAAACAGGAUUAGAUACCCCGGUAGUCCCUGUCUCUUAUAC
RNAcentral lists this ribosomal RNA (301 nucleotides) under uncultured bacterium. Its description in RNAcentral is "partial 16S ribosomal RNA". It matches the Rfam family "Bacterial small subunit ribosomal RNA", at positions 509 to 807 of the family's 1533-position model. The record is from RNAcentral.